Macrobrachium nipponense is the source of this 484-nucleotide long non-coding RNA. RefSeq lists it as uncharacterized. The record is from RefSeq and is a predicted model, not a curated record. The transcript has 3 exons. Lineage: Eukaryota; Metazoa; Arthropoda; Malacostraca; Decapoda; Palaemonidae.
CAACAUGAAUGCCCUUGCUUGGCUGUUCUUUUUGAUGGUACCCUGCAUCAUCCAAGCUUCCAGGCCUCCCUUCGUGGUCUCCCGGCAGCCCAGGAUCACCAAAAUGAUACCCCAGGAUAGCAACCACCUACACCAAGUCAUGUGGGUAUCACCCACCUUCAGGUUCUGAUGCAGCCUCGAUGUUGCCAAGAGAAGUAAUGACAAUGAAAGCUUCAGAUUCCAACGCAACUGCGACGACAUCCUUCGUUACGGACGUUCUAUUGACCUCCCAACUCCUUGCCAAGACUGUGAAGAAGACGACAAGAAUCUUUAUGCUUACUCCAGGGCCAUCAUUUACCCAGCAGCUUACUCUACCAUCUCAGAAGACCAAGGCGAGGACAGCAAGGAGGGCGGGAGUUUCAUGAUGGAAUCCCAGCCUUCAGAAAAGAUCUCUUCUUCGCCAGCCAUCGUUAUAAAAGAUGUACCUCGUUCGAAGGGGGCUGGA